This 328-nucleotide unclassified non-coding RNA is filed under the name uncultured Actinomycetes bacterium. RNAcentral describes it as "uncultured actinobacterium contains 16S-23S intergenic spacer region". Lineage: Bacteria; Bacillati; Actinomycetota; Actinomycetes. The record is from RNAcentral.
UCCGGUUUGUCACCGGCAGUCUCGCAUGAGUCCCCAACUAAAUGCUGGCAACAUGCGACGGGGGUUGCGCUCGUUGCGGGACUUAACCCAACAUCUCACGACACGAGCUGACGACAGCCAUGCAGCACCAUGUCAAGUCCAGGUAAGGUUCUUCGCGUUGCAUCGAAUUAAAGAACAUGCUCCGCUGCUUGUGCGGGCCCCCGUCAAUUCUUUUGAGUUUUAGCCUUGCGGCCGUAGUCCCCAGGCGGGGCACUUACUGCGUUUGCGGCGGCACCGGGGGGGUCGAUACCCCCGACACCUAGCACCCAUCGUUUACGGCGUGGACUAC